UGUAUCUAAUGUUAAAUGACCUAAAAAUGAAUGCGUGAAUAAGGAGGGUAAAUUUUGGGGUGUUAUGGAGAGAAAGUGUUGUUAGUUAGCCAUUUGUCAUCUUUCUCUUAGGUUGAAGUUGAGGAUGAGGUUGGGACUCCGUUCCAAGCCAUAUCUAUUGUUAGUAAAAAGAGAGUUGGGGCACCUAUGUCCCCAUUGAAAGAUGC
Molecule: long non-coding RNA, 206 nt
Filed under: Lathyrus oleraceus (garden pea)
Lineage: Eukaryota; Viridiplantae; Streptophyta; Magnoliopsida; Fabales; Fabaceae
Description: Pisum sativum (pea) long non-coding RNA (PSAT_LNC007124)
Source: RNAcentral